UCCUCGCGGUGGCCUCGAAUGAUUCUGAUGUAACCACAUUUCGUCAGGGGAUCCUACGAAUUUUGGCAUGAACUCUCGUCGAUUGUGGAGGAGAACCUGUGGCCCUCUCUCCCCCAUGCUUGUGUCGGGUCUCAGCUUCUCGCCUCCCUCUCCAGCACUUGACGCCGAUGGAUUUGGCCGCCGGAGCAGGAACUUAGGGUUUCCUCCUCCUUGGUCGAUGGAGUGCUUUGGGACUGGUCGGCGGGUUGGAUGGAUGGUGGCAGCAACUCAUCUAUCUAGAAGCCUAUGAUUCCUCAAGCGGCUCUAGAUACUACGAGAGGGAUGAACCUACUUUUUUGUGCUGGUUCGUUGGUGAUGCUUGGUUUUAGCGACAAGGGAGCUGCCUUUUAUUGUCACUGUUAGUGCUGAUUGAAAUUGACAUGGAAAACAAAGGAAGAACUGAUGGAACCAUCACAUAGCUAAGAAAAGGACAGUCAUUUGAUCCGGUGUCUGAACUAAUGGUUAAACGGCAUGACUAUUGAACCAUCACAUGGUUUCGGAAGAAAUUUCAGAAUUUGGAAUCUUAAAUGGUCUCCGAUUGAUUAUGUUAGUGCACGAUGCAUAUGUUGAUGAAUAUGACUAUGUAGCACCGGCAGAAGUUCAGUGAUGAUUGCCAUUAAGCAUGUACGAUAUAGGUUCAAAGAUUUGAUUGCUUGUCAGAUCCAAAGCAUCCAGAAUGCUGCUGCUUAUGCUCUGUGUUUGUUGGUACUACUGUAAGCAUACACGGGAAUCACAUAACUGGCUCGUUGACAUUCAACCCUUGGAAAACACAACUAGGGUUUUUCCAUCCUAAAUUCUAGUGGGUAAAACAAUGUAUUUCGCGCCAAUAGAGUUUAUAUCUAGGGCUUCAGAAUUUCUUUGUUUCUUGACAGAAGAUUCUAAAAUGUUCUAACUAGUUUCUGGUUGUGUAUGGUUUUUCUGUUUUCUCCCGGUAGGUUCAAUUUUGACAUUUGCUGCUUUUGUGGACAUCCUCCAAGUUGUGAAAUAUGAAUUAUUAUUUUGUAUAGGGAUCUUCAAAAUUGUAUUUCUAGAUAGUAGUUCUAUUGUAAGGAAUUAUGUCCUUCCUUGCUGAAUUGAGUUAAUUAAUAUCCGACAAGCAUCUUUACUUGAAUGGCAAUUUAGAUUGCUUUUGGUUGAAAGUUUAAAAGGCAUUUGAAUUUUAGUUAGGUUUUUCAACAUCUUUAGUUUACGUUCAAUGACCUGUAAUUCAUUUGUCUAUUUUCUGGGAUGUUUCUCUUCUGGAUAACAAGGCAAUAUCAUAAUUUCAAAUAUUUUUCUACGCAUCCUUUAUCAUGUAAGUAUAACCAUUCUUUAGUUCUCUUCUACAUGAUGUUCUUAAUAAAAUUAGUGCUAUGUGUAGUAUAGACACAUUGAGGCUAUUGGUUUAAACAAAUUUUAGGUUCCAAUAUCUUCUUACGUCUGCAACUAAUUUUCCCGUGAGGAAAAUAUUUGCACAAUUUUUGCUCAACCUCUUCAUUUCAUAUCUUCUAAAGCAUGAUGCUUUACAAAUUCCAAAUGAUGGAUAGUAUAGAAAUUAAAAUCUCUACUAAAAGUCCUUUUUUGCAUCCUUCUCUUUGGGCUUGGGUCUUUCCAAACUUUGAUUUGCUGGAGAUGAAAAAUUUCCUCCGUGCAUUCUUGCUUAAGCAGCAUGAUGAAGAUUCAUUCUUCUUAGGGAAAUGUAUGCCAAGAGUCGGUAACCAAACACCAUUGCUAUCAUGGCUCCAACUUCUAUAACACCAUUGUUGAGGUGAGUAACAUUUAGAGAGAGUGGUGCUUGGUCAUACUGCACCUUGAGUAAGAGUCUGUAAGUGUGAUAGUUGAAAGACAUGUAGCGGACCCAUGAUAUGAAUACUGGAACCCUCUGCAAUUAUUAGUACCAUGUUAUCUAUUUUGAUCAAUCUACUAUGAGAAAAACAAAAUGUGUCACAUUUGUUUAUAGGUUUCCUUUUUCCCCUUAAUAAUGUCAAACAGGAGAAAAAUAUUUCAUACAUGUUGCUUAAAUCUUUCAUGAUUUUACCUAAGUGGAGGAGAAAGAUUGUGCAAAUGCCUCAAAAACAUCCAUGAUUACUAUUUAACACAAAAGUUAACAUACAUUGUGUUUUUGCUUGUGAACUUUUGUGCCAUACUGUUUCUACUGAGGGGCAAGGGCAAUUCUCCUAUCAUCAUCCAGAAAGUUGCAUUUGAGAAGUCUUUUCUGGAGCUUUUUUUUCUCUGCCACUUAAUAUUCUUGUCUUUGGAAAGUUGCUAGUAAUAUUCAUCUAAUAUUUGUUCUGGUUAUUUGAGAUCAUUGUUAGUACUAAUUUCUUAUUAUAUUAUUGUUAUUAGUUCUUUAAAGCUAUUAGAAUCUUUCUCUCUAGUCCAUGCAAUGACAUGAAUAUUUUUUAUCUGAAAAAUAUGUGUUUCUAUUGUAGAACAAAACAAAAGUCUUUGAUGAAAAUGUGAUGAUUCAUAAUUUUGCUUAUAUUGAUUAAGAUAUUCUCCUGUAAAGCAUGAGAUAACCCUUACCUUCACAAAAAAUCCACCAGCAAGCAUAAAGGUCAUUACUGUAACUGAAGCUAAAGUAGUUGCCUUCUUGACGUCCAUUAGUGAGGCUCCGAUUGCCAAUCCUAGUCCCUGCACAGAAGAUAAACUCUAUAUAACCGACACCUUGAUGACAUAUGACAGAUGCUGCUUCUAGAAAUAUACUAUUUUUUGUCCUGCAUACCUGGGCAGCAACAAUACUGAGAAAUACAAUUAACAUAGUAAGAAAGAAGGCCUCCACACUCUGCCUUAAUGCUGCCAUGAAAUAUACAAUUAGCAGGAAUAUUAUUGGUAGGAACAGGUCCAGCGGCAAAUCGCUUGUUGUCCUGGCCAUGAAAUAAGCGCUUAGCCUGUACAUGUCAACUGCUCUUUCCUUAUUUAACAUUGCUCUUUCUUGUGGAAAUGUAAAGAUUGCCGUGAAAACCGGGAAGAAGCCCCAAAAGACAGCAAUAAAGAACAACAAUCCUGCCUGCAUAUUAGAUUUUGAAUGGGCUAUUAGCUGCCACUUACAUUUGAAGAAGAUUUAAGUAAAUUCUUGCUCAUAAUUGCUAUAUACAUUAUAAUUAUAUUAUUCUUUUAUCAGUUCUCGUUGAAUGCUUUUAAGAAUUCUAUUUGCAUAAUAGUAUAGCCAUUCCUUGGAGAUGUCUCAACUGUAAAAUUGGGAUUUGUUUGACAAUUUAUUUAGAAUGACUACAAUAUAAAUCAUGAUUAACUUGCAUAAGUUAUUUGUAGCUAAAUAGGUUACUAAUGUUUGACAUACAAAUUUGCAAAAGUUACAGACAUUAAACGAUAGACCUAAAUAUCAACACAAAACCAUUGGCAAAUCUUUAUCUCAUGCAUAAAUAUUAGAUCAUUGGUUGUGAUAUUAAAACUAUAUAAGCAGAAGCCGAUGAUAAACUGAACUACACGCUGUUAUACACAAGCUAUUUCUACUAGUCAGCCUGUCUGGAAUUACUAUUUCUAUAGUACAGGAUGGAAAUGGUUUUUUUACCUGAUCUUGCAGACCUUUUGGGGUUGUGCUAUCGGAGUGCCACCAAAGUAAACCUAGGAUUACUGCAGUUGCAAUAACUUGAGUGAUUCUCAUCCAACUUAGGUAAUCAUGUCGUCUUUCUUUUAAUCCUCUCCAAAACAAUAUGGAGUACUGUUGCAACCAGCUUGCACCCCAAUCUCUUCUUGGUGAUGACACAGUGACCUUCAAAUCUUCACUUAUAGGAAGAGGUGCCAUUAACUUCUUUUUUUCCUUAACUGCAACUCUAGUCUCAUAGGCCUCCACCAGGUACUGUUUUAAAGUUUUUAUGAAAGUCAAAAGAUAAUAGUUUUUUUUAUGAAUGCAAAAUAUGGCAAUAUAAAUAGAUGUGGGUUUAUCAUAAAUCUCCUAUGUGCUAAUCUUUUGUCCAUUUGAUUGUUACCCUGAUAAGUGUCACCAGAUGUUACCCUUUCAUUGUUGAGAAAUAUUUUGUUAUAUGAACAUUAAAUAUCUAUAUAAAAUUGUCAAAAGCAUAUGUAGUUGUAAGAAGGAAGUAUCAUUUUUUCCAAUCAGGGUUGGUUUCUUUUAUUUUUAAUAAUUAUGCUGAUUGUAAUUUGUUAUUGAAAAAUGCAUGCUUUUAAGAUCAGGGUGCUAAACUUACCUCAUGCACAUCUUUUGGAGAUGGCUUGUCGUUUCUUAUAUCGCUUCCAAGGUUUUCUAUCUGCACUUUAUCCUCUAGCUCUGAAGGUAUUGAAAUAUCAUUUGUGUUGCCAUUAGCAAGAUCAAGUAGGAAUUCUGCUGGGUUCAUUGCAAUGAGAGGAGAACACCCAAUUGUUGAAAAGUAGACCAGUGCUUCUGAUGCUUUCCCGAAAUAUAACAAACUACCUUUUCCAAGAAGGAUCAGUUUAUCAAAUCUAUGAAAAAGUCUGCUAGAUGGCUGAUGAAUUGUGGUUAGAACUGUUCUUCCAGCCUGAGGUAGGAUAAAAAGAUGCCAUGAGUCAGACAAUGAUGUAAAAUCUCUUGCAUGUUUACUGAUAUCCAUCGUAUUCUUCUAACUUGAGUAAAGUAGCUUGUAGGGGCACCAAUCAUGAUUGUUUUAUAUUAUGUUGCAAGUUAAAGCACUUUGUGUUGUUGGUUGGUCUCCCAUAGAAGUUCUCUUUCUUCAUUGAUAUUUAUUUUUUAUAUUUUUGUUUCUGAUAGGUCUAUGAACUAUUUUUAUGCAAGUAACGAGCAACUCACUACGUUAGACUUCCCUGUUAUAUGAUCAUAUUUACUUCCUUUUUCCAAUCUAUGCCUUUUACCAUUGUUAUGAACUUUCCUUAGCAGAGCUUGUUCAGUGAACUUAUUCUGUCUCACUGCAAAUACAAAUAACUACUUUACAUGUGGAAAAUAUACUCAUUGUUGACAUAUCGGAUUGUAUGUUCAUGAAAUUUAUGCAUACCACUCUCUAAUUUUAGAAUGAGUAGAAACAACAUGGAACUCAUCUAUUGAGGCCAUUGUGUUAAAAAAAAGUGAGAGAAUUUAGGGCAUAUCCAUUGUGUGCAAGGCCGAAAGUCUGAACACUGACUGUGGCAUGGCCUUAAUAUUCUGACAUACAUUCUUUCACUAAACAAGUUCAAGGGGCUCUUUUUGCUGAGAAUAUAUUUAGGUAUAACCUUUUGCACCUAUAUUUUCUCCCCACUUGGAGAAUAACUUUCAGUGGUAUACCAGCUUUCAGAUUACAAUUCAUUUAGGUAUCACUGACUUUCUGGAGUGACACACAAUCUAGAUGUAUGCUACAGUUGUUUAACUACCACAUAAAUAAAUAAAUACAUAUGCUGUGCUUACCUCGGCUAUGUCACGCAAAACUUGCAUUAUUCUUAGGGCUGUUGUUGAAUCCAAACCAGAGGUGGGUUCAUCAAGAAGCAGCAAAGAUGGGUUAAUAAUAAUUUCAUUCCCAAUAGAGACCCUCUUCCUUUCACCUCCUGAGACUCCUCGUACAAAAGAUCCUCCAAUCAUGGUGUCUUGGCACCUGCCAUUGUUAUCAAAAUUAGGAAGAUCGAACACCCUCUGAGUUGGCAACAUAGGCAAGUUCUCUUCCGGCUUUUCAAAGUAGACAACAUCCAGUAAUUGCACCUCAGAGGAGCUUUUUACUGGAUAUGGCAGGAAAUAGCUUGAAGACUGGGAGGUUACCUUUCAAGUCCUAGCUCAUAGAUGACAUCCAUUGCCCUCUCCUCCUUCUGCUGUCUACUCAUUUUGUUUGGAAGACGAAGGAGAGCUGCAUAAGUUAGUGUUUCUCUCACAGUAAGAUGUGCAAAGAGAACAUCAUCCUGAGUCACAAAUCCUAUCCUGCCAGGUGAAUGCAAUUGUUCGAUCUUAUUGUGAUUCAUAACAUAUAAGCAAGCUGAAGGACAUCUUAAGAGGAAGUAUCAAUCGCUAAGAUAUUAAAAAAGAAGAACAUGAACAUGUCUUCUUUUAUGUUACAGAAAUUACUUACAUUCUCCACUCAAACACAAUUCAAAUUGUACAUGAUUUCCAAAGACUGCUAUUAAGGACAAAGCAUUAUGAUCAUCUUCUUCUAGUUUUCUUUUUUCUUUGAUUUAAGCAGAGUAGCCAUCCUAUCUGACAAUAAAGUGUUAAUGUAUUGAUGGUUAUUUUUUGAGAGAAGUUUAUAUGUGUGCUUACUUUAUGCAGGUUCCUAGAAGUACAUCCAUGCAGGUGUUUUUGUUCCUCAUUCAGGUUGACUUGUUAAAGACAAUAUGCAAUUUAAUUGUUUUCAUAGUGCCUUUUUACCUGCGCUUUAGAGACUUGGUGUAUGGUUCGUCAUUGUAAGUUAUGGUUCCUUCGACCAAAUUGCCACGUAUCCUUCCUCCGAGGAGGCUCAGGAGAGUGGUUUUUCCGCUACCAGAAGGUCCCAUUAGGGCUAGAAGCUCUCCGGGGCUCGCUGAACCUGUAAUUCCGUUGAGGAUAUCUUUCUCAGUGGUUGUUGUUACUCCUUUGAGGAUUACCUUGUAUCUAACCUCUGUAAACUGCAACAUUAACGAAAGAAAGUAGCGAUAGAAAUACUUUUCAGUGGUUAUCGUCCAGACCUGACUAAAUUAGCUUGUACGAAUGCUUAUAGACUCUCAGAUGCUUGCUCAGAUUUCAGUCCUCUGAUUAAGCUGAUCUGAGAACAUACAGCAGGAUUAAGGUGGUGUCACAUUGACGCUUCAAUUGACAAUAGACAUCCACUAACUAUUCUGUUCUUCUGGAACUAUGCCUUUAUUCCAACUUUCUUUAGAAAAGGAAGUUUCAGCAAUGACUGAAUUAUAUACCUCUGGAUUGGGAUUACCUUUAUAUAUAUUGGCACAGUUGGCUCUGAUAUUAUCUUUUUCUUCAUGUGUCCAGCCUCUGGAUCCUUUCCUGCAAGAUGAGGAUUUUAUUUGACAAGUGGUUGAAGAAAAAUGAAUGAAAGGUUACCAUUGUCAUCAUCACUGAAAGACCUCAGAUCCGCAAUGAUGUCUUCGGGAGGGGCAGUGAAGCCGGUGAAUGAAAAGGAGAAGCCCAGACUGGCACUGGAAGCUCUGCUCAAGGCAGCACCGCUGCUCACAUCCUCCAAGUCUAGCUUCAGCUGUCCGCUCCGUGACUUCCGACUGUGGUGCCCGACUUUCCUCCCUGGUGAAGUUCCCACUGUUUUCUUCCCAAAGCUCGACUUCCUGGAUAAGCUCGGCUCCCCAUUAGUGUUUGAGGUCAGAAUCGUUUCGGCAGAGGCCGUGCGGCUUAUCGACUGUGACGCUGCAACCUUCUCCAGUUGGUCCGACUUUGUCCUACCGAUCAUCGAUGUAACCGAAUCCAUCUUUCAACACAACGGUACUGCUGUUAGUUAUCUGCAUUCGACGGUCAGUCAGAUACUCCCACAUGCUUGAUUCAAAAAGGAGACAUGGAGAAUUCAGAUCUAUUUCCAUUUCAGACUGAGUUAAAAGGACAAGAAGGCGCCAACUCUUUUUUUUUUUUUUUUUUAAUCUUUCCUGAUGCAGUGAUGUCACCUAUCAAACUAUUAGUCUUUUUGUUUUCUCCUGUGUGUGUGUGUGUGUGUGUAAGGAAUAUUGUUUUUCCACUAUAUUUGAUAUGACACAUCUUUUGAAACUAAGCACAGAGAAA
Musa acuminata AAA Group (dessert banana) is the source of this 7645-nucleotide long non-coding RNA. RefSeq lists it as uncharacterized. NCBI's taxonomy places the organism in Eukaryota, Viridiplantae, Streptophyta, Magnoliopsida, Zingiberales, Musaceae. The record is from RefSeq and is a predicted model, not a curated record. The transcript is spliced from 3 exons.